This 764-nucleotide ribosomal RNA is filed under the name uncultured bacterium. Its description in RNAcentral is "bacterial SSU rRNA". It matches the Rfam family "Bacterial small subunit ribosomal RNA", at positions 123 to 884 of the family's 1533-position model. The record is from RNAcentral.
AACCUACCCAUCAGAGGGGGGAUAGCCCGGCGAAAGUCGGAUUAAUACCGCAUAAACAGGGGUCCCGCAUGGGAAUAUUUGUUAAAAGGAUUAAUUGCUGAUGGAUGGGCAUGCGUUUCCAUUAGAUAGUUGGUGAGGUAACGGCUCACCAAGUCUGCGAUGGAUAGGGGUUCUGAGAGGAAGGUCCCCCACACUGGUACUGAGACACGGACCAGACUCCUACGGGAGGCAGCAGUGAGGAAUAUUGGUCAAUGGGCGAGAGCCUGAACCAGCCAAGUCGCGUGAAGGAUGACUGCCCUAUGGGUUGUAAACUUCUUUUAUACGGGAAUAAAAAAGGGAACGUGUUCCCUAUUGCAUGUACCGUACGAAUAAGCAUCGGCUAACUCCGUGCCAGCAGCCGCGGUAAUACGGAGGAUGCGAGCGUUAUCCGGAUUUAUUGGGUUUAAAGGGUGCGUAGGUGGAUUCUUAAGUCAGUGGUGAAAGUUUGUCGCUCAACGAUAAAAUUGCCAUUGAAACUGGGUAUCUUGAGUAUGUUUGAGGUAGGCGGAAUGCGUGGUGUAGCGGUGAAAUGCAUAGAUAUCACGCAGAACUCCGAUUGCGAAGGCAGCUUACUAAACCAUAACUGACACUGAAGCACGAAAGCGUGGGGAUCAAACAGGAUUAGAUACCCUGGUAGUCCACGCCGUAAACGAUGAUAACUAGGGGUUUGCGAUACACAGUAAGUCCUACAGCGAAAGCGUUAAGUUAUCCACCUGGGGAGUACG